Long non-coding RNA from Onychostoma macrolepis, 3494 nucleotides. RefSeq lists it as uncharacterized. NCBI's taxonomy places the organism in Eukaryota, Metazoa, Chordata, Actinopteri, Cypriniformes, Cyprinidae. The record is from RefSeq and is a predicted model, not a curated record. The transcript has 4 exons.
CUCACCUGGAGGGUAUUUAAGGAGAAUAGGUGAGAGGAGAGGAGGCUUGAGAGACGUGACUGGCUUUGCGCACUGAGGGGAAAAUGAGGACGCUUUGUGUUGCUCGAGACCAUUAGGGUUUGUCUGGCAACGAAGAUAGUUAGAUAGACCAACUUGACUUAGAUAAUGGUGGGGAGGGUUUAGGAGCGCUGGCCAUAUGUCUCAGGAGCAAUUCUAAGAGAUGGCAUUGUGCAAAGAGGACUCAUCAUUAUUAACGUGGUGACCAGUUGCCGCAACUGUGAGAGUGGGAAUCAAGUGAAGAGCUCGUGCCUUUGUGGAACGGACCUACCUGGCACGACUGAUUCCUUUCCCUAGACCCCAGGAGGGGGUCUUGUUUUCUGGAAACGGGGAAGUGUUUUACAUUUUAUAUUCUUUUUGUGUUGUGUGUAUAUGGGAGUGCGUAUGUGGUAGUUUUAAGGUUUAUAUGAACAUGAUUACUCUGUGUCCGGAACUGGGAGGCGCUGGGUUCUUUUCAUCUGUUUAACUGAUUACUCGAUCACGAUUUCUAGUGUGCCGUGUGGGGGCUGGGAAUAACCACUAGAGUGCAGUGUAGUGCAGUGUUGAAGUCUCACUUGUGUAGUACCGAGUGUUCUAGUGAGGGUGUACAGAGGAAUGUUCAUUGAACUUAAUUAGAUGUGUCUUUGUAUAGGCCAAAUGGUUAUAUCUUUUUAUAUAUAAUUGUUAAUAAAGCGAUAUAUUUCUGUAAAGUCCUGGUGUUGUGAUGUACCCUCUGUCCUGCAUUAAUUUGAUUAAGCCUCGGUAAGAAAACAUAAAGAGAGGUUUAUUACAAUAGUAUGAAUGAGGGUAGUAUGAAUGGAAUUCGGACGUACUACAUCCGCCAUGUUGAUGUUGUCACGUGUCAUGCGUCUUCACAACAGCGCGAAAAUUUAAAGAGCCCACUUCACUGCGCGAACAUCGUUAAUGAUUUAAAUUCUUAACGCUUAACGAACCGCCUAUUUAAAGAAAGCAGCGUUAACAAGCUGAUGUACUACAAUGAGGUUAACAUAACUCCAUCUGAUCGGUAAUAUUAGAGAUCUUUUACACACAAUUCACACAAUCGUUUAAUCUGUUUGUUAAACCCUCAACAAGUCAGCCGUUUACUUGGAUGAUGUUAAACAAGUACAAGUUAACCACAAUGAACAACAAUGUUUUUCCCUGAGGUACUUUACACUUGAAGACAGCCGCGUCGCGGCUUUCCGCCAUUUUUCGAAUAUGACGCCGCCUCUCCCGCGGCCUCAUGGGAUAGUAAAGUGUCCAACACUUGACUUGAUCGACUUGAAACAUGACUUUUCCAAAACUUUCUGGCUUUAUUUAUUUUUCCAAAAGUUUACAGGCCUGGAAAUUGCCGUUUUAAAAUUCCAUGACUUUUCCAGGUUUUUCAUGACCGUAUAUGAACCCUGAAUGUGACGAUCGGGUGCGGUUAUCUAAAUCAAAAUCAGGCAAAAAUAUAGGUGCGGGUGGUUGGCCAUCUUUUCCAGGUACCGUUUUCUUGCGUCCGUUAGAAGUUUGUCUCUGUAUAGUACAUUUUGUUCUUUUAAUCGACUUUUCAACAUUGUUUUUCAUGUGGUUGUUUUAAGUCUCGCCCGAUGUGGCCUCACAAUAUGGCGGCGCCCUCUUGUUUACGUCCCAGAAUGCACUGCGCAGUGACGUCGGUUGCCAAGCUCUAUAGGCCUGUGUGCAUUUGUGAGUUUAAGCUGCGGAAUGACAGUCUCAAAAUAAUCCACAAAUACAAAACCACAUAUUCACAGACAUUCUUAAGGCUGAACACUAUUGCAAAGGACUUGCUAUUUGUUGUGUAUACUGUGAGCAAAGAAGCAAUGCACAUAUUGCCUUUGUCUGGAUUGCCCUGUGUGGAUCUUGCAUACAUUUGUGGAUUCGUGUGUGUAUGGAUCUCUCGCGCGCAUGUGUGGAUCGCUGUGUGUAUGGAUCUCUCGCGCGCGUGUGUGGAUUCGUGUGUGGAUCGCCAUAUGGAUCUCUGGCGCGUGCAUUUGUGGAUUCGUGUACCCGCAUGUGGAUCUCUCGCGCGCAUUGUGGAUUCGUGUGUGUAUGGAUCUCCCGCGCGCAUGUGUGGAUUCGUGUAUGCGCAUGUGGAUCUCUCGCGUGCAUUUGUAGGAGGUUUUGAUACGGUUUUCACUCCAUAAAGAGUAGUCCCAGACUAAAAUGCAUGUCUGGGCUGUUUUAACUGAAAGCAACUUGAACUGACUGAUCUUAAAAUAAUUGUUUUGUCUCAAGAUGCACAUCAGUAGUGUUUUUAACUAAGGCACGUUUAUAAAAGCUAUUCAAAUGUCCUAAUUGAACUAUGACCUAAUCCUGGCUUAAUCUAAACCCUGUCUGUGACCUACAUAAUAUAUAACAUAUUUGUGAUUUUGCUGUAAAAACACGUUUUAUAAUGCAUAACUAACAGGAGAGCUCCAUUAAGUACACAUACGUCUCAAAAGUGGAUUUACAUAAACCAUAUGCAUCUUAAAGAUGAUUACUAAAUGUCUAUUUAACAUCUGACAGGAUUAUCUUUGAUAAGUAUUGCAGAUGAGCACAUCUAGUAGACAUGAAACGGGCAUCUGAGUGAGAGACGUAUGUGUUAUUAUGUAGAAUUCACUGUUGUCAACACUGCUUUAGAUGAAUGUAAGUCAUGCAAACAAACAAAUCUACAUAAAGUAACUGAACAUAAGUUAUCUAUUUUAUUUAUCCAUUAGUAAUAUUGAUAAUUUAAGGAGCAUUUGUGUUGGAUAAAAAGGGAGUUACAUCAGCAACUACCUCAACAUGUAAAUGCAGUAUUGAGCAGAUAAUCAGAGCUGACUGAAUCUUGUCUGAUGUUACAGGGACAGAUGAGACACAUGUGUGUUUAUCCGGUGCAGAGUGACUGAUGGAGGAAUUCUGCUAUCAAAGCCUCUCAAUCUUCUGUGGUGGAGCAGGACCUGUAAGGCAAGGACAGCGACAUUUGUGAAAAAAAGGGAAAACCUCAAACAAAAGGAUGAAGGACCUACAAACCCCUGGAUCAACCUGGAGAAAAGAGCCUUGCUGAAGGACACACCGGUGACAAACCAGCAACCUUCUGCUCACCAGUUCAGUGGUUUAGCCAACUACAAAAGUAGUCAUGCUCAUGGAGAGCAGGCACACGAAUGUUUGGAGCAGACACCGUGGCAGACACAGUUCUCCUGCUCUUGCCUCAAGGUUGUGUGGUUCAGGGGGCCAUCAUCAUGGUCUUCCUCAUCCUCUGGGUCAACGAUGUCCGCAUUGAGAAGAGCAAGGUUGUGAAGCACAGCGCAGCUGCAGAAUUGACACAUCUGUGUUGAGAUGGCAGUAGGAUGUGGGGUUCACCAUCUGUAAAUACAUGAUUGUUAGAACAAUACGUUUGAAUGAAGCAUUGUUUCAUCUGUUGUUGACUUGUAUAUUGUAUGUAUUUAUUGUGAUGCUUCCUUUUAUUCAUUCUUUUACUCGUUUAUUCAUGUUUCUUA